GUGAGGAAUUUUCCGCAAUGGGCGAAAGCCUGAUGGAGCAAUGCCGCGUGAAGGAUGAAGGCCUAUGGGUUGUAAACUUCUUUUCUUAGAGAAGAAUAUUGACGGUAUCUGAGGAAUAAGCAUCGGCUAACUCUGUGCCAGCAGCCGCGGUAAGACAGAGGAUGCAAGCGUUAUCCGGAAUGAUUGGGCGUAAAGCGUCUGUAGGUGGCUUCAAAAGUCUCCUGUCAAAGAUCAGGGCUUAACCCUGGGCCGGCAGGAGAAACUCUGAGGCUAGAGUUUGGUAGGGGCAGAGGGAAUUCCCGGUGGAGGGGUGAAAUGCGUAGAGAUCGGGAGGAACACCAAAGGCGAAAGCACUCUGCUGGGCCACAACUGACACUGAGAGACGAAAGCGAGGGGAGCAAAAGGGAUUAGAUACCCGAGUAGUCC
Molecule: ribosomal RNA, 426 nt
Filed under: uncultured bacterium
Lineage: Bacteria
Description: partial 16S ribosomal RNA
Rfam family: Bacterial small subunit ribosomal RNA
Source: RNAcentral